Molecule: non-coding RNA, 31 nt
Filed under: Mus musculus (house mouse)
Lineage: Eukaryota; Metazoa; Chordata; Mammalia; Rodentia; Muridae
Source: RNAcentral
UAAUUGUUAAAUUUUUAGGUGUUUUAUAAGA